ACCUUACCAGGGCUUGACAUGUCACAAAUCUUCCUGAAAGGGAAGAGUGCCUUCGGGAAUGUGAACACAGGUNGUGCAUGGCUGUCGUCAGCUCGUGUCGUGAGAUGUUGGGUUAAGUCCCGCAACGAGCGUAACCCUUGUCUUUAGUUGCCAUCAUUUAGUUGGGCACUUUAAAGAGACUGCCGGUGAUAAACCGGAGGAAGGUGAGGACGACGUCAAGUCAGCAUGCCCCUUACGCCCUGGGCUACACACGUACUACAAUGGCCGAGACAAAGAGUCGCAAGUUUGCAAAGACAAGCUAAUCUCAUAAACUCGGUCUCAGUUCGGAUUGUAGGCUGCAACUCGCCUACAUGAAGUUGGAAUCGCUAGUAAUCGCCGGUCAGCUAUACGGCGGUGAAUCCGUUCCCGGGCCUUGUACACACCGCCCGUCNACACCAUGGAAGCUGUUCAUGCCCAAAGUCGUUACCUUAACCGCAAGG
RNAcentral lists this ribosomal RNA (479 nucleotides) under uncultured Teleaulax. RNAcentral's name for it is "bacterial SSU rRNA". It matches the Rfam family "Bacterial small subunit ribosomal RNA", at positions 968 to 1446 of the family's 1533-position model. The record is from RNAcentral. Lineage: Eukaryota; Cryptophyceae; Pyrenomonadales; Geminigeraceae.